GAUGAACGCUGGCGGCGUGCCUAAUACAUGCAAGUCGAGCGAACAGAUAAGGAGCUUGCUCCUUUGACGUUAGCGGCGGACGGGUGAGUAACACGUGGGUAACCUACCUAUAAGACUGGAAUAACUCCGGGAAACCGGGGCUAAUGCCGGAUAACAUUUAGAACCGCAUGGUUCUAAAGUGAAAGAUGGUUUUGCUAUCACUUAUAGAUGGACCCGCGCCGUAUUAGCUAGUUGGUAAGGUAACGGCUUACCAAGGCAACGAUACGUAGCCGACCUGAGAGAGUGAUAGGCCACACUGGAACUGAGACACGGUCCAGACUCCUACGGGAGGCAGCAGUAGGGAAUCGGCCGCAAUGGGCGAAAGCCUGACGGAGCAACGCCGCGUGAGUGAUGAAGGUCUUCGGAGCGUAAAACUCUGUUAUUAGGGAAGAACAAAUGUGUAAGUAACUGAGCACGGCUUGACGGUACCUAAUCAGAAAGCCACGGCUAACUACGUG
RNAcentral lists this ribosomal RNA (497 nucleotides) under uncultured bacterium. Its description in RNAcentral is "partial 16S ribosomal RNA". It matches the Rfam family "Bacterial small subunit ribosomal RNA", at positions 28 to 507 of the family's 1533-position model. The record is from RNAcentral.